RNAcentral lists this ribosomal RNA (116 nucleotides) under Pteropus alecto (black flying fox). Lineage: Eukaryota; Metazoa; Chordata; Mammalia; Chiroptera; Pteropodidae. The record is from RNAcentral.
GUCUACGGCCAUGCCACCCUGAACAAGCCCGAUGUCUGAUCUCGGAAGCUAAGCAGGGUCAGGCCUGGUUAGUACUUGGAUGGGAAACCACCUAAGAAGAGCAGGUGCUGUAGGCA